RNAcentral lists this ribosomal RNA (501 nucleotides) under uncultured bacterium. Its description in RNAcentral is "partial 16S ribosomal RNA". It matches the Rfam family "Bacterial small subunit ribosomal RNA", at positions 30 to 523 of the family's 1533-position model. The record is from RNAcentral.
AUUGAACGCUGGCGGCAGGCUUAACACAUGCAAGUCGAGCGGGCGAGGUUGCUUCGGUAACUGAGCUAGCGGCGGACGGGUGAGUAAUGCUUAGGAAUCUGCCUAUUAGUGGGGGACAACAUUCCGAAAGGAAUACUAAUACCGCAUACGUCCUACGGGAGAAAGCAGGGGAUCAUUUGACCUUGCGCUAAUAGAUGAGCCUAAGUCGGAUUAGCUAGUUGGUGGGGUAAAGGCCUACCAAGGCGACGAUCUGUAGCGGGUCUGAGAGGAUGAUCCGCCACACUGGGACUGAGACACGGCCCAGACUCCUACGGGAGGCAGCAGUGGGGAAUAUUGGACAAUGGGGGGAACCCUGAUCCAGCCAUGCCGCGUGUGUGAAGAAGGCCUUUUGGUUGUAAAGCACUUUAAGUGGGGAGGAGGCUUACCUGGUUAAUACCUGGGCUAAGUGGACGUUACCCACAGAAUAAGCACCGGCUAACUCUGUGCCAGCCGCCGCCGUAA